GAUGAACGCUGGCGGUGUGCCUAAUACAUGCAAGUCGAGCGAACAGACGAGGAGCUUACUCCUCUGACGUUAGCGGCGGACGGGUGAGUAACACGUGGAUAACCUACCUAUAAGACUGGGAUAACUUCGGGAAACCGGAGCUAAUACCGGAUAACAUGUUGAACCGCAUGGUUCAACAGUGAAAGACGGUCUUGCUGUCACUUAUAGAUGGAUCCGCGUCGCAUUAGCUAGUUGGUAAGGUAACGGCUUACCAAGGCAACGAUGCGUAGCCGACCUGAGAGGGGGAUCGGCCACACGGGAAAUGAGACACGGUCCAGACUCCUACGGGAGGCAGCAGUAGGGAAUCUUCCGCAAGGGGCGAAAGCCUGACGGAGCAACGCCGCGGGAGUGAAGAAGGUCUUCGGAUCGUAAAACUCUGUUAUUAGGGAAGAACAAAUGUGUAAGUAACUAUGCACGUCUGGACGGUACCAAAGCAGAAAGCCAGGGCGAACUACGG
Molecule: ribosomal RNA, 496 nt
Filed under: uncultured bacterium
Lineage: Bacteria
Description: partial 16S ribosomal RNA
Rfam family: Bacterial small subunit ribosomal RNA
Source: RNAcentral